RNAcentral lists this transfer RNA (76 nucleotides) under Anaerocolumna jejuensis DSM 15929. Its description in RNAcentral is "tRNA_Ala_GGC". It matches the Rfam family "tRNA". Rfam says of the family: Transfer RNA (tRNA) molecules are approximately 80 nucleotides in length. Their secondary structure includes four short double-helical elements and three loops (D, anti-codon, and T loops). The record is from RNAcentral. Lineage: Bacteria; Bacillati; Bacillota; Clostridia; Lachnospirales; Lachnospiraceae.
GGGGGUAUAGCUCAGCUGGGAGAGCGCUUGCAUGGCAUGCAAGAGGUCAUGGGUUCGAAUCCCACUAUCUCCACUA